UACGUAGGUGGCGAGCGUUGUCCGGAUUUACUGGGCGUAAAGAGCGCGCAGGCGGUCGUACAAGUCGCGUGUGAAAGCCCCCGGCUCAACUGGGGAGGGUCACGCGAUACUGUUCGACUCGAAGGCAGGAGAGGGAAGCGGAAUUCCCGGUGUAGUGGUGAAAUGCGUAGAUAUCGGGAGGAACACCAGUGGCGAAGGCGGCUCACUGGCCCGAUACUGACGCUGAGGCACGAAAGCGUGGGGAGCAAACAGG
Molecule: ribosomal RNA, 253 nt
Filed under: uncultured bacterium
Lineage: Bacteria
Description: partial 16S ribosomal RNA
Rfam family: Bacterial small subunit ribosomal RNA
Source: RNAcentral